This 513-nucleotide ribosomal RNA is filed under the name uncultured bacterium. Its description in RNAcentral is "bacterial SSU rRNA". It matches the Rfam family "Bacterial small subunit ribosomal RNA", at positions 619 to 1129 of the family's 1533-position model. The record is from RNAcentral.
GAGGUCGUUCAAAACUGCCUGGCUAGAGGGCGACAGAGGGAGGUGGAAUUCCCGGUGUAGUGGUGAAAUGCGUAGAUAUCGGGAGGAACACCAGUGGCGAAGGCGGCCUCCUGGGUCGCCCCUGACGCUCAGACGCGAAAGCUAGGGGAGCAAACGGGAUUAGAUACCCCGGUAGUCCUAGCUGUAAACGAUGUGAACUUGGCGUUGGUGGGGUCAAAUCCAUCAGUGCCGGAGCUAACGCGAUAAGUUCACCGCCUGGGGACUACGGUCGCAAGAUUAAAACUCAAAGGAAUUGGCGGGGGCUCGCACAAGCAGCGGAGCGUGUGGUUUAAUUCGAUGCUACACGAAGAACCUUACCCGGGUUUGACAUCCAGGUGGUAGGGAACCGAAAGGUGACCGACCCUUCGGGGAGCCUGGACAGGUGCUGCAUGGCUGUCGUCAGCUCGUGUCGUGAGAUGUCCGGUUAAGUCCGGUAACGAGCGCAACCCUUGCUGUAUGUUACAAGUGUCAUAC